GUCAUGGGCGACGGCGGUGUGCGCCGUCCACAUCUUGUGCAGCGAAGCUGGUGAGAAUCCAGCGCUGUCCCGCAACUGUGAGCUUCCCGCGAGGGGAGCGAGCCAGGUCGCCUCACGCGGUGUGUCAACGUUC
This is a non-coding RNA of Catenulispora acidiphila DSM 44928, 133 nucleotides long. Lineage: Bacteria; Bacillati; Actinomycetota; Actinomycetes; Catenulisporales; Catenulisporaceae. The record is from Rfam.